CCUACGGGUGGCUGCAGUCGAGAAUCAUUCACAAUGGGGGAAACCCUGAUGGGGCGACGCCGCGUGGGGGAAUGAAGGUCUGCGGAUUGUAAACCCCUGUCAUGUGGGAGCAAAUUAAAAAGAUAGUACCACAAGAGGAAGAGACGGCGAACUCUGUGCCAGCAGCCGCGGUAAUACAGAGGUCUCAAGCGUGGGUCGGAAUCACGGGGCGUAAAGAGUGCGUAGGCUGUUUCGUAAGUCGUGUGUGAAAGGCGCGGGCUCCACCCGCGGACGGCACCUGAUACUGCGAGACUAGAGUACUGGAGGGGGAACCGGAAUUCUCGGUGUAGCCGU
Molecule: ribosomal RNA, 333 nt
Filed under: uncultured bacterium
Lineage: Bacteria
Description: partial 16S ribosomal RNA
Rfam family: Bacterial small subunit ribosomal RNA
Source: RNAcentral